RNAcentral lists this ribosomal RNA (464 nucleotides) under uncultured bacterium. Its description in RNAcentral is "partial 16S ribosomal RNA". It matches the Rfam family "Bacterial small subunit ribosomal RNA", at positions 29 to 507 of the family's 1533-position model. The record is from RNAcentral.
ACGAACGCUGGCGGCGUGCUUAACACCUGCAAGUCGAACGGAAAGGCCCCUUUGGGGGUACUCGAGUGGCGAACGGGUGAGUAACACGUGAGUAACCUGCCCUUGACUUCGGGAUAACUUCAGGAAACUGGGGCUAAUACCGGAUAGGAAUCCUUGCUGCAUGGUGGGGGUUGGAAAGCUUCGGCGGUUUUGGAUGGACUCGCGGCUUAUCAGCUUGUUGGUGGGGUAGUGGCUUACCAAGGCUUUGACGGGUAGCCGGCCUGAGAGGGCGACCGGCCACAUUGGGACUGAGAUACGGCCCAGACUCCUACGGGAGGCAGCAGUGGGGAAUAUUGCACAAUGGGCGGAAGCCUGAUGCAGCAACGCCGCGUGCGGGAUGACGGCCUUCGGGUUGGAAACCGCUUUCAGCAGGGGCGAAGCUUGUGGUGACGGUACCUGCAGAAGAAGCACCGGCUAACUACGUG